GUUCGCGCCUUGCUCUUGAAAAUUUUGGCGCGCCGCCUCAUACUGCGUCGCAUGGUUGUAAUUCCGGCAAACUGGAGGCGUUCUGGACGCGGGUUCGACUCCCGCCACCUCCACCCAGGCGUAUCCGGCCGGAGCGCGGGGAGUAUGUCUGGGUGGGGGUGUAUUGGCUUCGACAGGGCGAGUGAAGGCGCGCAGGCAACCCGAAAGGCGACGGACGUAAUCCGCGCAAAUCCACAAACGCCAAUGAUGAGCGUUUCGCACUGGCCGCCUAAGGCCGAUGCCGAGGCCGCUUGAGCCUUGUCACCCAAGAAAAGCCGGCGGGGACUUCGGUCCCCGUCGUCA
This 342-nucleotide transfer-messenger RNA is filed under the name Accumulibacter sp. It matches the Rfam family "Betaproteobacteria transfer-messenger RNA". From Rfam's summary of the family: Bacterial tmRNA, also known as 10Sa RNA or SsrA, is named for its dual tRNA and mRNA-like properties. Its role is to liberate the mRNA from a stalled ribosome. Lineage: Bacteria; Pseudomonadati; Pseudomonadota; Betaproteobacteria. The record is from RNAcentral.